Molecule: long non-coding RNA, 1460 nt
Organism: Scophthalmus maximus (turbot)
Lineage: Eukaryota; Metazoa; Chordata; Actinopteri; Pleuronectiformes; Scophthalmidae
Exons: 3
Source: RefSeq, a predicted model, not a curated record
CAAGGACCUCUGGCGCGAGGCCGCUGUGAGUCCACAGGUUCAACCUCAAGUCGUCCACCAAAGCAGGGUUGUGAAUUCAGUCCUCAGCUCCUCCCGACACAAAAGUGUCCCUGGGCGAGACACAGAACCCCAUAUUCAUGACGAGUGAUAAUGGCACCCAGAGGCUGGACACGGGGGCAGCCAAGGAAGGAAGGAAGGAAAUGCCAAAUGCAGACAGGGAAGUUGGAGGAAAACUGUAAUGAUAAAGUGCAAACUCAAAGAGCAUAGAGCAAUCUGACAUAAAGGAGAAAUGUGGUAAUGUGUAGAAUACAGAUGAAUAAAACCCUGCUACUCUUUGUUACCUCACAAAAUGGAGGGAUUGAAGAUAAGUUUAAAGGCACAGCUGUGCAGUAGUAAAUACCAGUAAGGAGGUCAGUGAUUGAGUUAGAUUAUUGUGAGACAUUGUUUUGUUACGGCUGAUUCAAAAAGGUUAGACAAUGUAAUUUAAAAAAUACCCUGAUAUGUGCAGUAUGAAAGCAGGAGCAUAAAACUUACCAUACAGUGCUUUUAUCAAACGGCUCAGAGCCUGAAAUCAGCCAGAGGUCACGUUAUUCAUUAAGUAUAAUCAUUUUUUCCCCUUUUCAUCCAGUGCUGCUGCUGCAACAUGAAACCAGGGUUGUUCUUUUAAUUUCAGCAGGGGGCAGCAAAUCCCAAACUACCAUGACUGACCAGGUGAAAAAAAAUCUAAAAAAAAUAAUGCGUGUGUGCUUUUACAUGUGUGUUUGCACACACAUGCAGAAUAAAUAUGUUUUUAUGGGUGGGUGUGUAAACAUACAUGUACAUACAUUCUGGUCACGACAAUAUUUGUGUGCACAGGGAGCAAGUGUGUAUCUAAACUAAUGGUUUGCAUGCUCAGGGCACCUGACAUGACAUCAUUUAAUAUUACGUAUAUUUCAGCCGUGCAUGCUUGAUGCUGACAACCUUCUCUCCCCCGAAGAGCACAUUACAUAUGCCAUGCUCCGCACACGCAUGUAUUGAGUGUCUGUGCUUGGUAUGCAGGCACAGAGCCUUGUCAAAACAGAAUGAGAGACACCCGGAGAUUGGAUGGCCAGUGUUGGGAAAUGGAUGGGUGAAUUGAAAAGGCAAAAAAUCAGAGGCAAGAGCAGGAUGGGGGGGAAAGGAAAUGGAGAAGGAAGGGGCUGGAUUGAGAAUAAUCUUUUGAGUAAUAAAAGGAGGCAAAGCAGAGAAAAUGGUUUCCUGCACCUGGUGAGAGAGAGAAAGUGGAGAAGCUGGACAGAAAACUCUGAGGUCAGAAAGGGUAAUAAUGUUCAUUGUCCUUGGUAUGAAAUCAGUACACACUGCUCCCAACAGCAGCUGAGGAAAGAUACCAGCAGCAUUCGACUCCUGUUGUUUUUAGAGAAGAAUAUCAAAUUAAUAUAUAUGAAAUAUAUAUUUUGUGAAGAAUAAGUUAAUUAUUUAGA